GCAGUCGACGGCAGCACGGGGGCAACCCUGGUGGCGAGUGGCGAACGGGUGAGUAAUACAUCGGAACGUGCCCAGUAGUGGGGGAUAGCCCGGCGAAAGCCGGAUUAAUACCGCAUACGACCUACGGGUGAAAGCGGGGGACCGCAAGGCCUCGCGCUAUUGGAGCGGCCGAUGGCAGAUUAGCUUGUUGGUGGGGUAAAAGCCUACCAAGGCUACGAUCUGUAGCUGGUCUGAGAGGACGACCAGCCACACUGGGACUGAGACACGGCCCAGACUCCUACGGGAGGCAGCAGUGGGGAAUCUUAGACAAUGGGCGCAAGCCUGAUCUAGCCAUGCCGCGUGAGCGAUGAAGGCCUUAGGGUUGUAAAGCUCUUUCAGUGGGGAAGAUAAUGGCUGUACCCACAGAAGAAGCCCCGGCUAACUCCGUGCCAGCAGCCGCGGUAAUACGGAGGGGGCUAGCGUUGUUCGGAAUUACUGGGCGUAAAGCGCACGUAGGCGGAUCAG
This 504-nucleotide ribosomal RNA is filed under the name uncultured Pseudomonadota bacterium. RNAcentral describes it as "bacterial SSU rRNA". It matches the Rfam family "Bacterial small subunit ribosomal RNA", at positions 57 to 583 of the family's 1533-position model. The record is from RNAcentral. Lineage: Bacteria; Pseudomonadati; Pseudomonadota.